AUGAUAGGACUCGUCGUCGCCGCGCUGCUCUUCCCAGCAGCUUUGUCAUCCACGCGGCCGGAUCAGCUUAUCUCCAUGACUACCGAUGGCCAGUACCAUAGUACACGUCCAGUAGUGACCAUAGCCGACGGUCUCACUGCGGACUACCAUGACGUGUCGUGCCCCGAUCUGCGGGGCAUCGUGCGCACCGCCGUGGUAGAAGCCGUACAGGGAGAUAUCACCAUCGCCGCUGACCUCCUCCGUAUGUUCUUCCACGACUGCUUCCCGCAGGGAUGCGAUGCGUCAAUUCUUUUGCUGGGAACUCCAUGGAGUGAGAUGAGAAUGCCGCCGAACCUCUCUCUAGAUAUCAGGCGGAAAGUGGCGUUCCUCAUGGAAGACAUCCGCGCCAAGGUGCACGAAGCCUGUGGACCCACCGUCUCUUGCGCCGACAUCAUGGCCCUUGCCACUCACGACGCCGUUGUAGCGUCAGGUGGCGAACCCUACCAUGUGCCACUCGGUAGGCUUGACAGCUUCGAGCCCGCGCCGCUGAGGUUUGUCGAGGAGCUCCCGCCCCCCACCUUCAGCAUUGACCAACUUAUAGCUGCCUUCAGAAGCCGCAGCCUCGACGAGAAAGACCUCGUGGUGCUCUCUGGUGCGCAUACCAUUGGGAAAGCUCGUUGCGCCACCUUCAGCGACCGUUUCCCCAACUCCGACUCUGAUGACUUUGUUCGAAGGCUACAAGAUAACUGCACCACCGACGUGAACCGCCGUCAGGACCUCGAUGUUACCACCCCGGAAAAGUUCGACAACAAGUACUACAUCAACCUCAAGCAGGGGAAGGGGGUUCUUACCUCCGAUGUGCAGCUCCUCCUCAACAAGACUACCCGAGGAUACGUGAACGACUUUGCCGACAAUGAGUGGUGGUUCUGGAACCAGUUCGGCAGCUCCAUGAGCAAGAUGGGGAUGCUCCAGGGACCUCAAGGGAACGUCGGCCGCAUCCGCCAGCAGUGCUACUAG
RNAcentral lists this ribosomal RNA (996 nucleotides) under Triticum aestivum (bread wheat). RNAcentral describes it as "partial small subunit ribosomal RNA". Lineage: Eukaryota; Viridiplantae; Streptophyta; Magnoliopsida; Poales; Poaceae. The record is from RNAcentral.